RNAcentral lists this transfer RNA (74 nucleotides) under Methanosarcinales archaeon. RNAcentral's name for it is "tRNA-Met". It matches the Rfam family "tRNA". From Rfam's summary of the family: Transfer RNA (tRNA) molecules are approximately 80 nucleotides in length. RNAcentral also lists the same sequence under 2 other names. Lineage: Archaea; Methanobacteriati; Methanobacteriota; Methanomicrobia; Methanosarcinales. The record is from RNAcentral.
GCCGGGGUGGCCUAGUUGGUUAGGGCGCCAGACUCAUAAUCUGGAAGUCGCGGGUCCGAAUCCCGCUCCCGGCA